AUGUUAGAAUAUCGUCAUCUCCGGCGAUGAAGUUGCUCAAUGAUUUUUUUUACAACCUAUAUCUGACCAGUUCAACCGGUUAGCAGAUUAAUGACGAAUUUUCCCAGUUUGAAGUUACCGGUUUCUAGUACUAAACCCAAACCGAAAAAAAGUUCGGAUUGUGGGUUAACCAGUAAGUCUAGGUCAGGCGUGAAAACACUGGUAAGAACUCAUAUUAGUAAUGUUUGAGACAAGACAAUGACAUUGGUUUUUUUGAUGUCUCACAAACUUUAAGGGAAAAAUCCUAAAAGAGACUCAAAAUAAAUAUAAUUUGGACGUUUAAUACCCAAUAUUUUUUUGUUGGAAAAA
Molecule: small RNA, 348 nt
Filed under: Arabidopsis thaliana (thale cress)
Lineage: Eukaryota; Viridiplantae; Streptophyta; Magnoliopsida; Brassicales; Brassicaceae
Description: ATSL301150
Source: RNAcentral